GGGAAUCUGCCCUUUGGUCUGGGAUAACUGUUGGAAACGACAGCUAAUACCGGAUGAUGACGUAAGUCCAAAGAUUUAUCGCCAGAGGAUGAGCCCGCGUCGGAUUAGCUAGUUGGUGGGGUAAAGGCCUACCAAGGCGACGAUCCGUAGCUGGUCUGAGAGGAUGAUCAGCCACACUGGGACUGAGACACGGCCCAGGCUCCUACGGGAGGCAGCAGUGGGGAAUAUUGGACAAUGGGCGAAAGCCUGAUCCAGCAAUGCCGCGUGAGUGAUGAAGGCCUUAGGGUUGUAAAGCUCUUUUACCCGGGAUGAUAAUGACAGUACCGGGAGAAUAAGCUCCGGCUAACUCCGUGCCAGCAGCCGCGGUAAUACGGAGGGAGCUAGCGUUGUUCGGAAUUACUGGGCGUAAAGCGCACGUAGGCGGCUUUGUAAGUUAGAGGUGAAAGCCUGGAGCUCAACUCCAGAACUGCCUUUGAUACUGCAUGGCUUGAAUCCAGGAGAGGUGAGUGGAAUUCCGAGU
RNAcentral lists this ribosomal RNA (520 nucleotides) under uncultured bacterium. RNAcentral describes it as "bacterial SSU rRNA". It matches the Rfam family "Bacterial small subunit ribosomal RNA", at positions 120 to 674 of the family's 1533-position model. The record is from RNAcentral.